UAGGGAAUCUUCCGCAAUGGGCGAAAGCCUGACGGAGCAACGCCGCGUGAGUGAUGAAGGUCUUCGGAUCGUAAAACUCUGUUAUUAGGGAAGAACAAAUGUGUAAGUAACUAUGCACGUCUUGACGGUACCUAAUCAGAAAGCCACGGCUAACUACGUGCCAGCAGCCGCGGUAAUACGUAGGUGGCAAGCGUUAUCCGGAAUUAUUGGGCGUAAAGCGCGCGUAGGCGGUUUUUUAAGUCUGAUGUGAAAGCCCACGGCUCAACCGUGGAGGGUCAUUGGAAACUGGAAAACUUGAGUGCAGAAGAGGAAAGUGGAAUUCCAUGUGUAGCAGUGAAAUGCGCAGAGAUAUGGAGGAACACCAGUGGCGAAGGCGACUUUCUGGUCUGUAACUGACGCUGAUUUGCGAAAGCGUGGGGAUCAAACAGG
RNAcentral lists this ribosomal RNA (429 nucleotides) under Actinomycetes bacterium. RNAcentral's name for it is "Actinobacteria bacterium partial 16S ribosomal RNA". It matches the Rfam family "Bacterial small subunit ribosomal RNA", at positions 355 to 776 of the family's 1533-position model. The record is from RNAcentral. Lineage: Bacteria; Bacillati; Actinomycetota; Actinomycetes.